CCUACGGGUGGCAGCAGUGAGGAAUAUUGGUCAAUGGGCGAGAGCCUGAACCAGCCAAGUCGCGUGAAGGAUGACUGUCUUAUGGAUUGUAAACUUCUUUUGUAGGGGAAUAAAGAACGGUACGUGUACCGUAGUGAAUGUACCCUACGAAUAAGCAUCGGCUAACUCCGUGCCAGCAGCCGCGGUAAUACGGAGGAUGCGAGCGUUAUCCGGAUUUAUUGGGUUUAAAGGGUGCGUAGGCGGCCUGUUAAGUCAGCGGUGAAAUCUAGGAGCUUAACUCCUAAAUUGCCAUUGAUACUGGCGGGCUUGAGUGUAGAUGAGGUAGGCGGAAUGCGUGGUGUAGCGGUGGAAUGCAUAGAUAUCACGCAGAACUCCGAUUGCGAAGGCAGCUUACUAAGGUACAACUGACGCUGAAGCACGAAAGCGUGGGUAUCAAACAGGAUUAGAUACCCCAGUAGUC
This 460-nucleotide ribosomal RNA is filed under the name uncultured Porphyromonas sp. RNAcentral describes it as "bacterial SSU rRNA". It matches the Rfam family "Bacterial small subunit ribosomal RNA", at positions 338 to 795 of the family's 1533-position model. The record is from RNAcentral. Lineage: Bacteria; Pseudomonadati; Bacteroidota; Bacteroidia; Bacteroidales; Porphyromonadaceae.